This is a long non-coding RNA of Corapipo altera (White-ruffed manakin), 591 nucleotides long. RefSeq lists it as uncharacterized. NCBI's taxonomy places the organism in Eukaryota, Metazoa, Chordata, Aves, Passeriformes, Pipridae. The transcript has 3 exons. The record is from RefSeq and is a predicted model, not a curated record.
GUGUGAUGCUUUCGAGACAUGUCCUAAAAGGCAAAAGCAAAGCCAUGACUUCAGUGUCUGGGAAGACACUUCUUGAUGCAGUCAGUGGACAUCAGCAGUCCUGAUGCGGGCCAGAAUGAACAGGACAGCUGCUCCCAGGCACAUGGGGAGAGAGGAGAUGGACCCCUGGGAGAGCCCUCACUGUGGAACUGGGAGCACUGGGAAACCCUCAGGAGUUGCCCAGGAGAUGGCCUCAUGAACUGAUGUUUCCAGCAUCACUGCUCAGUGAUGGGGACAAAUGGGGACACAUCCCCACCAGGCAAGUCUCUGUUCUCACCCUCUUGCUUUUGGGAUUCCCCUUUUCUUUGGCCCUGGCACUUUGUUUUUCUCCUGGGCAGCCAAAGUGGGCGUUUGUACAGGUGGUGGUAGCUGCAGACAAGGCUGGGGGUCAUGUGCAGUGAACUGCCCUCAUAAACACCACUGAUCAGGAGUAUUUCCUGAAUUACCUGGUUCUUCUGCUCUGCUGGCACCCCAAAGCACGGGCAUGGGCGGAGGGCAAGAAGAGGAUGUGGAGUGACAGGAAACGUGGCCUUUGAGCCUGGACUCACAAGU